This is a long non-coding RNA of Notolabrus celidotus (New Zealand spotty), 1033 nucleotides long. RefSeq lists it as uncharacterized. NCBI's taxonomy places the organism in Eukaryota, Metazoa, Chordata, Actinopteri, Labriformes, Labridae. The record is from RefSeq and is a predicted model, not a curated record. The transcript is spliced from 3 exons.
CACCUACAUAGUCUUCUCUGGAGUAAGACAGCUGGACUUGAGCUUCACCCGGAGCUCCACCACCAUGUCCCUCAGGGCCUUCACCUCCACCCAGAUGUCAGUGGUGGUUUCCUUUGUCGUCUGCUCAGUCUCUAGUUCCUCUGUGAGAACUCCAUCCAUCCCAUGAGCCCCUGACCCACACAGGCCGAGCAGCAGCAGCGACAGCAGACCAAAGACAACCCUCAUGAUCCAGCUACAGGUCUCUACAAAAGCCAGAGUGAACUGGAGAUGGUAGACCCCUUUGACUGGUGCUGUGAAGAAACCUGAAGAGAAUGAAGAGAAAUAUGAAUGAAACACAGGAAGAACUGAUCUAUGGAGACUUUAUUUAAGACAUGUGUAUCAUUUCAUAUGUCCAGCUCAUGUAACCUGCAGUUUACUACCUGUAGAGGGAUUGUAAGCAUUGCCGAUGUUGGUGAUGACCUUGAUGAAUUUUAGGUUUGUGUCUGUGCUGUACGGUCCAAUAUUUCCUGUAUCAGUCAGACCUGUGUGGAACGCCACCUGAGGCUUCUCUGUUAACACAGAAGAAGAAAAUAACAUUCAUUGAUCAAUCAUGGACUAACAACGCCAUGUGUGACGUGUCUGUGUGACAUCAUCACCUGCGUUUUCUGUCUCCAGCUGGUUGAUCCUGGACGUGCUGAGGAGAAGUUCACUCUGCAAGUCUGAGUUUCAAACAAUGAGAGAGUGAAAGAGAUAAACCAGGAAAUACCAAAGUUUUAAAAUGCACAACAUGUUUUAUAGACUGUGUGAACUCUGAGACAAGAUCAAACCACACUUAAGUCAAACUGUGCAAUGAGGUCUAAAUACCUGCAGUUUCUUCUUCUAGUUCACUUGUCCUCCUCUCGGAGGAAGUCAGUCUGGUUUCCAGAGAUUUGAGUUCUGUGGUCUGAGCUGAAAAACAAAAGAAAUUAGAUUUUUGUUUGAUUGAGGAAUGUCCAAAAAAUGUUUAAAAAACACUCAAACCUGUUUUUAAGUCAUUGAUAUUGUCAAAAAAUUU